UUUAGCCCAAAAAAACGACAUAGUAUAUAGUAUGGCAUUUUUAGCCCGAAAAAAACGACCAUGUAUAGUAAGGCGUUUUUAGCCGAAAAAAAUGACAUAGUAUAGUAAGGCGUUUUAGCCGAAAAAAACAACCAUGUUAGCCCGAAAAAAACGACAUAGUAUAGUAAGGCGUUUUUAGCCGAAAAAAAUGACAUGUAUAGUAAGGCGUUUUUAGCCCGAAAAAACGACAUAGUAUAGUAAGGCGUUUUUAGCCGAAAAAAAUGACAUAGUAUAGUAAGGCGUUUUUAGCCCGAAAAAAACGACAUAGUAUAGUAAGGCGUUUUUAGCCGGAAAAAAAUGACAUAGUAUAGUAAGGCGUUUUAGCCGAAAAAAACGACCAUGUAUAGUAAGGCGUUUUUAGCCCGAAAAAAACGACAUAGUAUAGUAAGGCGUUUUAGCCGAAAAAAACGACCAGGUAUAGUAAGGCGUUUUUAGCCCGAAAAAAAACGACAUAGUAUACUAAGGCGUUUUUAGCCCAAAAAAACGACAUAGUAUAUAGUAUGGCAUUUUUAGCCGGAAAAAAAACGACCAUGUAUAGUAAGGCGUUUUUAGCCCGAAAAAAACAACACAGUAUAGUAAGGCGUUUUUAGCCGAAAAAAUGACGUAGUAUAGUAAGGCGUUUUAGCCGGAAAAAAAACGACCAUGUAUAGUAAGGCGUUUUUAGCCCGAAAAAACGACAUAGUAUA
Hippocampus zosterae (dwarf seahorse) is the source of this 725-nucleotide long non-coding RNA. RefSeq lists it as uncharacterized. The transcript is spliced from 2 exons. Lineage: Eukaryota; Metazoa; Chordata; Actinopteri; Syngnathiformes; Syngnathidae. The record is from RefSeq and is a predicted model, not a curated record.